This 70-nucleotide transfer RNA is filed under the name Micromonospora pisi. Its description in RNAcentral is "Micromonospora sp. GUI15 tRNA". It matches the Rfam family "tRNA". From Rfam's summary of the family: Transfer RNA (tRNA) molecules are approximately 80 nucleotides in length. Their secondary structure includes four short double-helical elements and three loops (D, anti-codon, and T loops). Further hydrogen bonds mediate the characteristic L-shaped molecular structure. tRNAs have two regions of fundamental functional importance: the anti-codon, which is responsible for specific mRNA codon recognition, and the 3' end, to which the tRNAs corresponding amino acid is attached (by aminoacyl-tRNA synthetases). tRNAs cope with the degeneracy of the genetic code in two manners: having more than one tRNA (with a specific anti-codon) for a particular amino acid; and 'wobble' base-pairing, i.e. permitting non-standard base-pairing at the 3rd anti-codon position. The record is from Rfam by way of RNAcentral. Lineage: Bacteria; Bacillati; Actinomycetota; Actinomycetes; Micromonosporales; Micromonosporaceae.
GGCCGGGAAUGCCGAGCGGCUCGCUGGGCUCAUAACCCAGAGGUCGCAGGUUCAAAUCCUGUCCCCGCUA